Molecule: ribosomal RNA, 492 nt
Filed under: uncultured bacterium
Lineage: Bacteria
Description: partial 16S ribosomal RNA
Rfam family: Bacterial small subunit ribosomal RNA
Source: RNAcentral
GAUGAACGCUAGCUACAGGCUUAACACAUGCAAGUCGAGGGGAAACGGCAUUGAGUGCUUGCACUCUUUGGACGUCGACCGGCGCACGGGUGAGUAACGCGUAUCCAACCUUCCCAUUACUGUGGGAUAACCUGCCGAAAGGCAGACUAAUACCGCAUAGUCUUCGAUGACGGCAUCAGAUUUGAAGUAAAGAUUUAUCGGUAAUGGAUGGGGAUGCGUCUGAUUAGCUUGUUGGCGGGGUAACGGCCCACCAAGGCUACGAUCAGUAGGGGUUCUGAGAGGAAGGUCCCUCACAUGGGAACUGAGACACGGGCCAAACUCCUACGGGAGGCAGCAGUGAGGAAGAUUGGUCAAUGGACGGAAGUCUGAACCAGCCAAGUAGCGUGCAGGAUGACGGCCCUAGGGGUUGUAAACUGCUUUUGUAUGGGGAUAAAGUUAGGGACGUGUCCCUAUUUGCAGGUACCAUACGAAUAAGGACCGGCUAAUUCCGUG